GAAGGUUCCUGGCAACCGUGUCUGGAGAAAGCUUCUUGACCCCAUUUUUUAAACAGCAGAUAAUGAAGAUAUUAUACCAUUAUAUGCUCUUGAAUCUGUCUCAUUGUGACUUGGCGAAGAGGCAGUGAAUCUGCCAAAAAGAAGUAGAGCAGCUGUGAAGAUGCCAACACAAUUGAGUACUCUUUCUCUACAUAUUUCUAAAUAUGGCAAUUUAUUGGACACUUAUGAGCAUGGAAUGACAAUGGGGUCAAUUUAACCAUACGGCAAUGCUGAGACACCUUCAUUAUGACCUUUCCCUGGUAUAAGUUAUGUGAUAAUGAAUGCAUGUUUAGUCACACACUGUAGGUACAGAUGGGAAAAAAGAAAGCAUAAAAUAUAAAACAUGAUGUCCAGGUUUCAAAUAAGAAUUCUAAAAUGUUAUUUAAUUAAUGAAAUGAAAAUACUUUACUUUAGAAAAAGAAUAUUGAAUCUCUUUGAUGUAUAAAAUGUAUAUUUCAAAUUAAAAAUUCAAA
This 512-nucleotide long non-coding RNA is filed under the name Homo sapiens (human). RNAcentral's name for it is "HSALNT0315869". Lineage: Eukaryota; Metazoa; Chordata; Mammalia; Primates; Hominidae. The record is from RNAcentral.